GUAGGUGGCAAGCGUUGUCCGGGAAUUAUUGGGGCGUAAAGCGCGCGCAGGCGGUUCUUUAAGUCUGAUGUGAAAGCCCACGGGCUCAACCGUGGAGGGUCAUUGGAAACUGGAGAACUUGAGUACAGAAGAGGAAAGCGGGAUUCCACGUGUAGCGGUGAAAUGCGUAGAGAUGUGGAGGAACACCAGUGGCGAAGGCGGCUUUCUGGUCUGUAACUGACGCUGAGGCGCGAAAGCGUGGGGAGCAAACAGGAUUAGAUACCCUGGUAGUCCACGCCGUAAACGAUGAGUGCUAAGUGUUAGGGGGUUUCCGCCCCUUAGUGCUGCAGCUAACGCAUUAAGCACUCCGCCUGGGGAGUACGGCCGCAAAGGCUG
Molecule: ribosomal RNA, 375 nt
Filed under: uncultured organism
Description: partial 16S ribosomal RNA
Rfam family: Bacterial small subunit ribosomal RNA
Source: RNAcentral